CUAGCAAUUUUUAAAAAGCGAAAAGGAUUUUCAGCACAUCAUUUAAUCAAUAAACAAACAAACGGUUAAAUUAUCUUCAACUACACGCCAUAUUAUAAUUUUUAGUAAUUUAAUUUUCACGUGACAGUACAAUGAAAGUAACGGUAACUUUGUUGAAGUGAGUCAGAUUGUUUGUCGAGUCAUUUCUGAGAACGACUCUUCAGACUGAUUCAAUCUGCUAACUACUGAUUCACGAGUCUUUUUGAAAGAUUUUGUAAGAGAACCGCAUCAGAGUCACUUGUUGGAAUCGGACUGCGUGAAAAAAAAGGCUUAUUUUCUUGUCAUUAUUUUGUGUCACGUGGUGUUUUUUCUAUCUCAUGUUGAUGUUGUUCAAUCCAGACUGCAAACUCUAUUGAAUCAAACAGACGUGGAACCAUACCAGAGCACGAUAUCUGGUCUCCAGAUGAUCUCGGAGGGGAUCCUGAUGGAGGUGACAUUCUCAUAGUCCUCUGGGUUCCAGCGCAGCUUGUAAUCGUUCCACUCCUGCAGGGAAACAUGUGCGCUCAUCACCGCUCACAACCAGCAGACGUUUGUGGUCAUCAUCUGAUUCUUCUCAUCCUGGUUUAUUAUGAAGCAAAAUAGGACAUCCAUGCAAAAGAGAGUAAUAAUAAGAGAGGAUGUUGUUGUGCUGGAGUGCAUCUGAGACUCACCACAUCAAUGAGCUGAGCAAUGGACAGGCCAAAGUGGACCAGAACCACAUCUGAGAUGUUUGCUACUGGACGAGAGAGCUUGUUGUAGUUGCUAAACAAAGAUUGGAGGAGUCUUUCUUCCGCAUGGGCACGAGCUGGAGUGCUGGAAAACACUGAUAAAAAAAGCGCUGGUUAAAUCUUCUCUACACCAUAACAAUUGGAUAAAAGCUGUUUCCAUUCCAAGCAAUCAUUUAACAUGCAAAACAUGCCGUUUAUUAUUAUUUUAGUAUUAUAACCAAAAUUAUAAUCAAUACUAAUUAUGUUAUUAUAUAUAUAGUAUUACUUUUAUAGUAUAUUAUUAUUAUUAUUAUAAGUUUUAUUUUUAUAGUUACAGUUUUUUGGGGUUUUUUUGUGGCAAAACAGCCCCUGAGCUGCUCACACCCCCUCAUUCACACUGCAUCAAUACAUAAACAGGAAAUCGAGUAUAACUGAAAAGUUAAACUGAAGGUCAGACUUUACCACAUGCCAGCUGCAGACAGACAGAAAGAAGAAAGAAGACACUCCACGCUGUUCUCAUCUUGUCC
Molecule: long non-coding RNA, 1252 nt
Organism: Onychostoma macrolepis
Lineage: Eukaryota; Metazoa; Chordata; Actinopteri; Cypriniformes; Cyprinidae
Exons: 4
Source: RefSeq, a predicted model, not a curated record